Molecule: ribosomal RNA, 673 nt
Filed under: uncultured bacterium
Lineage: Bacteria
Description: bacterial SSU rRNA
Rfam family: Bacterial small subunit ribosomal RNA
Source: RNAcentral
AGAGUUUGAUUAUGGCUCAGAACGAACGCUGGCGGCGUGCCUAACACAUGCAAGUCGAGCGCGAAAGUCCCUUCGGGGGCGAGUAGAGCGGCGGACGGGUGAGUAAUACAUAGGUAAUCUACCCCCGAGAUCGGGAUAACCCUGCGAAAGUGGGGCUAAUACCGGAUAAGACCACGUGGCCCAGGCCAUGUGGUAAAAGAUGGCUUUUUCUUUCGAGUUAGAGCUAUCACUUGAGGACGAGCCUAUGGCCUAUCAGCUAGUUGGCGAGGUAAAAGCUCACCAAGGCUAUGACGGGUAGCUGGUCUGAGAGGACGACCAGCCACACUGGGACUGAGACACGGCCCAGACUCCUACGGGAGGCAGCAGUGGGGAAUAUUGGGCAAUGGGCGAAAGCCUGACCCAGCGACGCCGUGUGGGUGAUGAAGGCCUUCGGGUUGUAAAGCCCUGUCGGAUGGGAAGAAGGGUCCAGAGGUAAAUAAUCUCUGGAUCUUGACGGUACCAUCGGAGGAAGCACCGGCUAACUCCGUGCCAGCAGCCGCGGUAAUACGGAGGGUGCAAGCGUUGUUCGGAAUUACUGGGCGUAAAGGGCGCGUAGGUGGUUCUGUAAGUCAGAUGUGNNNUNCUUCGGCUCAACCGGAGAACUGCAUCUGAUACUGCAGUGACUUGAGUACAG